Molecule: ribosomal RNA, 253 nt
Filed under: uncultured bacterium
Lineage: Bacteria
Description: partial 16S ribosomal RNA
Rfam family: Bacterial small subunit ribosomal RNA
Source: RNAcentral
UACGUAGGGGGCGAGCGUUGUCCGGAAUUAUUGGGCGUAAAGAGCGUGUAGGCUGUUCGGUAAGUCUGCCGUGAAAACCUGAGGCUCAACCUCGGGCGUGCGGUGGAUACUGCCGGGCUAGAGGACGGUAGAGGCGAGUGGAAUUCCCGGUGUAGCGGUGAAAUGCGCAGAUAUCGGGAGGAACACCAAUGGCGAAGGCAGCACUCUGGGACGUGACUGACGCUGAGACGCGAAAGCGUGGGGAGCAAACAGG